Molecule: small nucleolar RNA, 69 nt
Organism: Lates calcarifer (barramundi perch)
Lineage: Eukaryota; Metazoa; Chordata; Actinopteri; Centropomidae
Source: Ensembl
UUGGAGAUGAUGCAUCAAAAAACAUCUGACUUCCACUGAUGGUGUUUGUAUUCAUACUGUCUGAUCCAG